UAAGCAUAUCAAUAAGCGGAGGAAAAGAAACCAACAGGGAUUGCCCUAGUAACGGCGAGUGAAGCGGCAACAGCUCAAAUUUGAAAUCUGGCUCUUUUAGAGUCCGAGUUGUAAUUUGCAGAGGGCGCUUUGGCUUUGGCAGCGGUCCAAGUUCCUUGGAACAGGACGUCACAGAGGGUGAGAAUCCCGUACGUGGUCGCUGGCUAUUGCCGUGUAAAGCCCCUUCGACGAGUCGAGUUGUUUGGGAAUGCAGCUCUAAAUGGGAGGUACAUUUCUUCUAAAGCUAAAUAUUGGCCAGAGACCGAUAGCGCACAAGUAGAGUGAUCGAAAGAUGAAAAGCACUUUGGAAAGAGAGUCAAACAGCACGUGAAAUUGUUGAAAGGGAAGCGCUUGCAGCCAGACUUGCUUGCAGUUGCUCAUCCGGGCUUUUGCCCGGUGCACUCUUCUGUAGGCAGGCCAGCAUCAGUUUGGGCGGUAGGAUAAAGGUCUCUGUCACGUACCUCCUUUCGGGGAGGCCUUAUAGGGGAGACGACAUACUACCAGCCUGGACUGAGGUCCGCGCAUCUGCUAGGAUGCUGGCGUAAUGGCUGUAAGCGGCCCGUCUUGAAACACGGACCAAGGAGUCUAACAUCUAUGCGAGUGUUUGGGUGUCAAGCCCGAGCGCGUAAUGAAAGUGAACGGAGGUGGGAACCCGCAAGGGUGCACCAUCGACCGAUCCUGAUGUCUUCGGAAGGAUUUGAGUAAGAGCAUGGCUGUUGGGACCCGAAAGAUGGUGAACUAUGCUUGAAUAGGGUGAAGCCAGAGGAAACUCUGGUGGAGGCUCGCAGCGGUUCUGACGUGCAAAUCGAUCGUCAAAUUUGGGCAUAGGGGCGAAAGACUAAUCGAA
Molecule: ribosomal RNA, 886 nt
Filed under: Alternaria photistica
Lineage: Eukaryota; Fungi; Ascomycota; Dothideomycetes; Pleosporales; Pleosporaceae
Description: LSU rRNA
Rfam family: Eukaryotic large subunit ribosomal RNA
Source: RNAcentral